AAUGUGAACUUCAGUUGAUUAAAUAUGUAUGGUUGACUUUUGUUCUUUACCUGAGUAUUUACUUUGGUUCAUAAUUUUGUUUCUCUAGUUUUUGUACUUCAGUAUGUAUUAUAAUUAAAAUUGAUAGUAUAUUUGUUUAGUUGUUAAAAUAAAUAUAAUAUUACUUAGAAUGCUUUUCUUUUAUUAUCAUAUAAUAACCUUUGUUACUUUAUAUUAUUAUAUUAGUCGUACAACGCACGGAUCAAAUACUAGUUAU
Molecule: long non-coding RNA, 256 nt
Filed under: Ananas comosus (pineapple)
Lineage: Eukaryota; Viridiplantae; Streptophyta; Magnoliopsida; Poales; Bromeliaceae
Description: long non-coding RNA (ACOM_LNC023370)
Source: RNAcentral